RNAcentral lists this non-coding RNA (21 nucleotides) under Mus musculus (house mouse). Lineage: Eukaryota; Metazoa; Chordata; Mammalia; Rodentia; Muridae. The record is from RNAcentral.
UAUUGAGAUACAAAGGAUGAA